This 478-nucleotide long non-coding RNA is filed under the name Homo sapiens (human). Its description in RNAcentral is "long non-coding RNA NONHSAT213814.1". The record is from RNAcentral. Lineage: Eukaryota; Metazoa; Chordata; Mammalia; Primates; Hominidae.
GCUAAGAAAAACUUUUGGAAGAAUGAUGGUGAUGGGUUUGCAGGAAGCAGUUUUCGUCCCCUCCUUGGGUCCCUGUGUGAGCUCUGGCAUCUUUUUGUGGAACAGCAGCCAAGGUUGAAGAUGAAGCCAAGGGCAUCACCAAAAACUUGAAGAUGUUGAGUUUGACCAAAUAAAAAAGUCGAGGAUAUUACGGCAUUUACUACACUAUGAGUCAUCAUCAGCUUCCCUGCUAGACUGCGCACUUCGUAAGAACUGUAUCUUAUUAUUCGUGGCAUCCCCAGCACUGUACCUGACACACAAGAGGGACUCGGUAAAUGUUUGCUGAAUAAACUAGUAUAUUAAGCUGGAGAAUCUGAAUUUACGAGUAUCUUGCAUCAAAACGCUGCCUCAGAGAGAACAGAAAGUGAAAAUACAGAUUCCUGAAAUCAUACAAUAAGAGUAAAUGGGGCAUAGGAUUGGACAGUUAAGAAGAUGGGUG